RNAcentral lists this ribozyme (78 nucleotides) under Crocodylus porosus (Australian saltwater crocodile). RNAcentral's name for it is "Mammalian CPEB3 ribozyme (ENSCPRG00005009827.1)". It matches the Rfam family "Mammalian CPEB3 ribozyme". Rfam says of the family: The mammalian CPEB3 ribozyme is a self cleaving RNA located in the second intron of the CPEB3 gene which belongs to a family of genes regulating messenger RNA polyadenylation. This ribozyme is highly conserved and found only in mammals. Lineage: Eukaryota; Metazoa; Chordata; Crocodylia; Crocodylidae. The record is from RNAcentral.
AGAUCACAAGUUUGAAGCCGCAGCAGAAGCACUCAUGGUGUAGCCUGUCAAAUUCCAAUGAAAUCUGUGAAUUCUGCU